RNAcentral lists this long non-coding RNA (552 nucleotides) under Vombatus ursinus (common wombat). RNAcentral's name for it is "lncRNA (ENSVURG00010010315.1)". Lineage: Eukaryota; Metazoa; Chordata; Mammalia; Diprotodontia; Vombatidae. The record is from RNAcentral.
AAUAGGUAUUGAUAAUAUUAUUUUCUCUCUCUUGUGAGUUCAUCUUUUUCAUUUUGUUUUCCAGAUAUAGGACAGAUAUUUAUCUUGUCUACUACAAAAACACUCCCAAAUUCAUAAGCGUGCAUUGACUGAGACGUGACGUGGGAAACAGUAACUCAUAAUUUCUAUUAUGCCUCCCUGGAAGGCUAAGACAUAAAACAAGAAAAGAAGAAAAACUGUGAGAUCGCUGAACUGCCAUCUUUCCUUCCCACAUCUCCUGGCAGCUGGUUAUCGGAGCCUCUCCUCCUGUCACCUGGACACAAAAUACCUGUGUAUUGCUGUACGGAGAAUGAUCUCAGUGGGCGGCUGGCGACCUGUCCUUGGGAAAGAAGUCAGACUGCCGCCUUCAUGGACAGAGUAUCUUCUUCACAAGAGAGACCCCCCCCCCACGUACCUGCAAAUGAGAACAUGGAACCCCUCAGACCUUGGGUGGUCAACUGGAAGGAGUUUUCUUUUCUGAGAGGGGAGAUAUUCUCUGAAAUUCUCAGAUGGCAUACCUGUGCAGCUUGCUAG